Molecule: long non-coding RNA, 1922 nt
Organism: Leptidea sinapis
Lineage: Eukaryota; Metazoa; Arthropoda; Insecta; Lepidoptera; Pieridae
Exons: 2
Source: RefSeq, a predicted model, not a curated record
AAAACAACAAACUCGUUAGGUGUCAGUAAUUAUUUGUAACCAUGAACCUUGAUAGCUUUCUUCUAUUAUUGUCACUAGCUUUGGUUAUUACAAGGUCGACUUGUGUGGAUGUGGAUAAGCAAGAUGUUACAUCGGAUUACUUGGAAACGCCAGAAGAACACAGCAAGUCUUCUCUGAACAGAUUCGAUUACCUAAGGAAUCGCUACGACACAAAAAUGAAACUGCAAAAGAAAUUUUUACCUUUUGUUGGAAAAAAUUGCUCAUUCGCUUACCCGGUGCUAAGGGCAAUUGAGUCCGUGUUUACCGCACCUUGGUAUUUCGUUAAGAGUACAUUACAUAAAAUCUUUGGAUAGCAUGCGUUUGAAAUUGUAGUAGACUAAUAUUUCUCUAACUCCAUAGGGUUUGGACUAUCUUCUUGCGAAAUUAUGUCAUUAUAAGCUUAAAUGAUAAAAAAUAAUAAAUAUAUUUUACUCCAACUUGUACUGCCAAAUCCCAACAUGACAUCAUAUGGCAGCGUUUAUUUCAGCACACCGUCCCGGACUCGUGGAAGUCAGUCCUUGUCUAUUCUAUCCCUAAAGAAAGUAGAGCUCAGACCUAGCUUACGCUAAUAUUCAAGUAAAUCAGCAUAGCAUACCAACCAAUAGUAGUAGUAUAUAAUUACACAAUGCUCCUGUGAUUGCUAGUGUGUUGCAAGAGAGUGUGGGCAGCGGUGAUCACUUCCCAUCAAGUAACCCGUACGUUUGUAUGUCUUCCUCUUCCAUAGACAAUAGAAGGAGAUGGACGGCAGCCAUCCAAAGUUUAGAAGUCAUGGUAGACAGUUAUUGCUCGAGCCCGAAGCCCAUAAACUUUGGAGUUCCCCAUGCUUGUGUGCUUACUCCUACACUAUUCCUUCUGCAUUUGAAUGAUAAUUGUUUGGAUGCUUCCAAUGUGCCUUAUGCUAUGUAUACUGCGUUAAAGAUCUCUAUAUGCGCAUAAUACAUAUAAUACAUGUACAUAAUACAUAUACAAGUAAAUAAAGUGAACUACUUUUAAUAACAAAAUGGCUGCGUUGUAAGCGUCACUAUUUGUGUCUUUCUAAUUGCAUGAAGUACCAUUACUACUUCUUUCUAAUGAUAAAUAUGUCGCGAUAACUUAUUUUUUACCGUUUUCAAAAAAGGUGGAGGUUCUCAAUUUGACGGUUUUAUUUUUUAUGUUUGUUAUCUCAUAACUUUUGACCGGGUGAACCGAUUUGAUGAUUCUUUUUUGGUGGUGCUUCCCGUGUAGUCUCAUUUAAUUUCGUCCAGGUCUGACAACGGCAUCCAUGAGAUAAGCAUAAUAUAUACUGUCUUAAAUUUGCACUAAGUAGGCGCGCGACAAAUGGACGAAUACCUCAAUAUCACGCCAACCGAUUUCGAUAAAAAUGCAUAAAAAGCAUUUAUUUUCUCAAAAUUGAUUCCUUUAGAAUUCUUUUUGAUGUAAAAGAUAAUAUGUAAUGUCUAAUAACUACUAGAUACUACUACCGCUUCGGAAACAAAUGGCGCCCUGAAAGAGAAGAAGCGGCGCAAGAAACUCUCCCAGCAUUCUUUUUUUGCGCUCUUUUCAAUAAAAAUAUACAAUAUUGUACAGUAAAAUAUAUAUAUAGGUAUAAAAUAAUCGUAAUUUAGUCCCAGGCUGUCCGAUCAUUUAGAUAUUCAGCAGUGGAGUAAUAGGAUUUACGACAGAGCCAUUUUUUAAGAACAGUGGCUGGGACUUUAUUAUAGAAGUGUAUACAUUUACCCUUAAAGCUAUUAUGUAUUCUAUGAAACCUACUAGAAUUAGUUACAAGCAAUCCCUUAUUUCUAGUGUUAUAAUAAUGAAAAUAACUAUUAAGAGCAAAAAGGUGACGAUUUUUGUGAACGUAUAUUAAAUUUUCAUAAAUGUACUGAGAAUGAACAGUCAUAAUA